GCAGCCGCGGUAAUACGUAGGGGGCAAGCGUUAUCCGGAAUUAUUGGGCGUAAAGAGUGCGUAGGUGGUUACUUAAGCGCGGGGUGAAAGGCAAUGGCUCAACCAUUGUUAGCCCUGCGAACUGGGUUACUUGAGUGCAGGAGAGGAAAGCGGAAUUCCUAGUGUAGCGGUGAAAUGCGUAGAUAUUAGGAGGAACACCAGUGGCGAAGGCGGCUUUCUGGACUGUUACUGACACUGAGGCACGAAAGUGUGGGGAGCAAACAGGAUUAGAUACCCC
RNAcentral lists this ribosomal RNA (277 nucleotides) under uncultured Clostridia bacterium. Its description in RNAcentral is "partial 16S ribosomal RNA". It matches the Rfam family "Bacterial small subunit ribosomal RNA", at positions 511 to 788 of the family's 1533-position model. Lineage: Bacteria; Bacillati; Bacillota; Clostridia. The record is from RNAcentral.